Molecule: ribosomal RNA, 435 nt
Filed under: uncultured fungus
Lineage: Eukaryota; Fungi
Description: partial 18S ribosomal RNA
Source: RNAcentral
UAUGCAAGUACACGUCCCACGUCCUGUUUGUGCCGGCGACACGAUCCGAAUUGACUGGGGAUACCCUCACCAGCCUGUCUCACCAACUCUGUGUGGGAAACCGCUAGAGGGCCCGUGCUAACUACACGGGGUGGUAACAGACGACAUGGAUACCUCCACGCCUUUGGUGUGGAUACCAUGGGCAAUCCGCAGCGAAGCCUCUAAGUCCAGCCGCCGGAUAUGAGGAACGUUCACAGACUAAGUGGAAGUGGGUGGAGCGUACGCCGCUCUGCUUAAGAUAUAGUCGGGCCCCUUGGGAAACUAACGGGGUGAGUACACUGCUCGAAAUUCAAACUUCGAACGUGUCUCGGAUAGCGCUCGUGUCAGAAUAUCGAGACUGUCGACUGCCUCGUGGUAAUGACAGCUCUUAAUAACGUNGCCGUAAGGUGNGACCUG